Molecule: ribosomal RNA, 170 nt
Filed under: uncultured bacterium
Lineage: Bacteria
Description: partial 16S ribosomal RNA
Rfam family: Bacterial small subunit ribosomal RNA
Source: RNAcentral
GGCUAUACCCAGAUGUUGAGAAGUUUGGACGCUCUCAACCAAAGCUUCGGCGCCUUGAGAGGGGCCUGCGAGCUAUCAGCUUGUUGGUGGGGUAAUGGCCUACCAAGGCUAAGACGGCUAGGGGGCGUAAGAGCGCGACCCCCCCACAAUGGGACUGAGACACGGCCCAU